UACCUGCAGUCGAGCGGUAGAGAGAACUUGCUUCUCUUGAGAGCGGCGGACGGGUGAGUAAUGCCUAGGAAUCUGCCUAGUGGUGGGGGAUAACGUUCGGAAACGGACGCUAAUACCGCAUACGUCCUACGGGAGAAAGCGGGGGAUCUUCGGACCUCGCGCCAUUAGAUGAGCCUAGGUCGGAUUAGCUAGUUGGUGAGGUAAUGGCUCACCAAGGCGACGAUCCGUAACUGGUCUGAGAGGAUGAUCAGUCACACUGGAACUGAGACACGGUCCAGACUCCUACGGGAGGCAGCAGUGGGGAAUAUUGGACAAUGGGCGAAAGCCUGAUCCAGCCAUGCCGCGUGUGUGAAGAAGGUCUUCGGAUUGUAAAGCACUUUAAGUUGGGAGGAAGGGUAGUAACCUAAUACGUUGCUACUUUGACGUUACCGACAGAAUAAGCACCGGCUAACUUCGUGCCAGCAGCCGCGGUAAUACGAAGGGUGCAAGCGUUAAUCGGAAUUACUGGGCGUAAAGCGCGCGUAGGUGGUUCAGUAAGUUGGAAGUGAAAUCCCCGGGCUCAACCUGGGAACUGCUUUCAAAACUGCUGAGCUAGAGUACGGUAGAGGGUGGUGGAAUUUCCUGUGUAGCGGUGAAAUGCGUAGAUAUAGGAAGGAACACCAGUGGCGAAGGCGACCACCUGGACUGAUACUGACACUGAGGUGCGAAAGCGUGGGGAGCAAACAGGAUUAGAUACCCUGGUAGUCCACGCCGUAAACGAUGUCAACUAGCCGUUGGAAUCCUUGAGAUUUUAGUGGCGCAGCUAACGCAUUAAGUUGACCGCC
This 824-nucleotide ribosomal RNA is filed under the name uncultured bacterium. RNAcentral's name for it is "bacterial SSU rRNA". It matches the Rfam family "Bacterial small subunit ribosomal RNA", at positions 52 to 873 of the family's 1533-position model. The record is from RNAcentral.